RNAcentral lists this ribosomal RNA (262 nucleotides) under uncultured bacterium. RNAcentral describes it as "partial 16S ribosomal RNA". It matches the Rfam family "Bacterial small subunit ribosomal RNA", at positions 524 to 776 of the family's 1533-position model. The record is from RNAcentral.
UACGGAGGGUGCAAGCGUUAUCCGGAUUCACUGGGUUUAAAGGGUGCGUAGGUGGGCAGGUAAGUCCGUGGUGAAAUCUCUGAGCUUAACUCAGAAACUGCCGUGGAUACUAUUUGUCUUGAAUGUUGUGGAGGUGAGCGGAAUAUGUCAUGUAGCGGUGAAAAUGCUUAGAUAUGACAUAGAACACCAAUUUGCGAAAGGCAGCUUACUACCCCGAAAUAUUUGACACUGAGGCACGAAAAGCGUGGGGGAUCAAAACAGG